CAGUAGCCACGGGAAAACGUAGGUGGCAAGCGUUGUCCGGAAUUAUUGGGCGUAGAGCGCGCGCAGGCGGAUAGGUCAGUCUGUCUUAAAAGUUCGGGGCUUAACCCCGUGAUGGGAUGGAAACUGCCAAUCUAGAGCAUCGGAGAGGAAAGUGGAAUUCCUAGUGUAGCGGUGAAAUGCGUAGAUAUUAGGAAGAACACCAGUGGCGAAGGCGACUUUCUGGACGAAAACUGACGCUGAGGCGCGAAAGCCAGGGGAGCGAACGGGAUUAGAUACCCCCGUAGUCCCUGUCUCUUAUACA
RNAcentral lists this ribosomal RNA (301 nucleotides) under uncultured bacterium. RNAcentral describes it as "partial 16S ribosomal RNA". It matches the Rfam family "Bacterial small subunit ribosomal RNA", at positions 509 to 809 of the family's 1533-position model. The record is from RNAcentral.